AUGGCGGCCAGGCACUCGUACCCGCCCACGCGGGCCACGCGGAGCGCGCCGGCGCCUCGGCCGCCAUUGUCCCGCCUCGGGGAGUCGGAGACGGCGGCGGCCCACCCCGGCGCCGACCCGGAGGCGCGCCGCAAGGCCAAGAAGCAGAACCAGCUGUGGCCCAAGACGGUGCUGCGCAAGUGGCUCAACAUCCGGUCGCCGGACUCCGACUUCAGCGCCGACGAGGGCGACACCGCCGACGAGGCCGCCAGCGACUCCGAGUACGAAGAGAUGUGCGGAUGGGAACGCCAGCGAUAUGAUCAGGACCGGAGAAUGCGUGGAUUGGGUGCCCAGACUACUGAUAGCCAAAUGGAGGGUGUUCCAUACGGUCUUAAUAGAAGGCGCAAGUCAGAGACUCUUCGUGCUCAGUAUAUCGAUGUCAAGGAACUGAGGGUCUGCAUAGGAACUUGGAAUGUUGCAGGCAAACUUCCACCUCAAGAUUUGGAUAUUCAAGAAUGGUUGGAUAUGAAGGAGCCGGCUGACAUAUAUGUUCUUGGAUUUCAAGAAGUUGUUCCAUUAAAUGCUGGGAAUAUAUUUGGUGCGGAAGACAACCGUCCUGCUUCCAUGUGGGAGCAUAUCAUUCGUGAAACACUGAAUAAGAUUAGUCCAGAUAAACCAAAAUAUAAAAGUCACAGUGAUCCUCCAUCUCCAUCAAGGUUCAAGCCAUCUGAUGACGCUCUUGCAAUGGAAGAUGAACUUAAUAGCGAGUCUGACAGCGAAAGUGGUGGGGAAGUGCACCCAUGGAACGAACAAGAUUUAGUUGUUGUUGAUGAUGAUGAUAGUCAUAGCAACAGACUUGAACACUCCACUUCUGCUCCUGACGAAUCUAUUCUACAGGCUGAUAACUUCAGCAAGUUGCCUUCAAUGAAGACUUUCAAUAGAUCCCAUAACAUAGUAAGUUUUAAAGAUUACACCUCUCUUUUGGAAGAGCCGAUCAACCAAAAGAUGUUAACCAAGACACUCAGUCACUCGGAGAGGCUUGGAAUGAUUUGGCCAGAACAACCAUUGGAUAUGUUGGCUCAAUGUCUUCCAGACAGCACACAACCGUUUGCUUCCGGGAAGGCACUAAAAACAUAUUUGUCUUUCAAAUCAGUUAAUGAAGAUUCCUGUGCUUUUCCCGAGGAUAGUGCACUUCAUGGUUUAAACAUUGAAAGUGUGGUAGCUAAAGGAAAAAGACCAUACUUUGUUAGGAUAAUAAGCAAGCAGAUGGUCGGAGUAUUUCUCACAAUAUGGGUACGAAGGAGCCUGCGAAAGCGCAUUCAGAAUGUGAAAGUAUCAACUGUAGGUGUAGGUGCUAUGGGGUACAUUGGUAACAAGGGAUCAAUAGCAGUAAGUAUGUCGAUAUAUCAAACACACUUCUGCUUUCUUUGUUGUCACCUGACCUCUGGAGAAAAGGAAGGAGAUGAACAAAAAAGGAAUGCGGAUGUGCAAGAGAUCCAUCGAAGGACAGUAUUUAAUUCCAGAGUGAGCACGCCUAAGACAAUAUAUGACCACGAAAGGAUAUUCUGGCUAGGGGAUCUGAAUUAUAGGAUCAACUUAUCAUACGAAAAAACACAUGAGUUUAUCUCCAACCACGACUGGAAUGGAUUGUUUGAGAAAGACCAGCUAAGAAGAGAACUGAGGAAAGGACGUUUAUUUGAUGGGUGGACUGAAGGAGUUAUCAGCUUUUCUCCAACAUACAAGUACCGGUUUAACUCGAAGAAGUACACAAGUGAUGAGCCAAAAUCUGGGAGAAGGACACCUUCAUGGUGCGACCGAAUUCUUUCGUACGGCAAGGGAAUGAGGUUAUUGUCCUAUGAGACGGUUGACAUGAGGCUAUCCGAUCACCGCCCCGUUAAAGCCGUGUACACGGUUGAUACAGAGGUUUUCAGCCCCAAAAAGUUGCAGAGAGCUCUCACCUUCACCGACGCGGAGGUCGAGGACCGGCUGUCCUCUGAGGACGAGCGCAUCGCUGGAAUCUACAGCCUUGGGCUGUCGUAA
This 2019-nucleotide ribosomal RNA is filed under the name Triticum aestivum (bread wheat). RNAcentral's name for it is "partial small subunit ribosomal RNA". Lineage: Eukaryota; Viridiplantae; Streptophyta; Magnoliopsida; Poales; Poaceae. The record is from RNAcentral.